Molecule: long non-coding RNA, 291 nt
Filed under: Salmo salar (Atlantic salmon)
Lineage: Eukaryota; Metazoa; Chordata; Actinopteri; Salmoniformes; Salmonidae
Description: lncRNA (ENSSSAG00000083651.1)
Source: RNAcentral
AAGAAUGCAUGUAUUGUGUAACAUGAUGUCCUAGGAGUGUCAUCUGAUGAAGAUUGUCAAAGGUUCCUCAACAAGAGAGGGAGAGGACACGGAAGAGGCCAACACAGGGGGGUGGAAGAAAUCAAGACUAUCCAACCACAUGGAGCAGGACCAGAACAAGGCUGUGAUCAACAUUUCUGGAGAACCCCUUUCUGAUGAUUGUGUAAGAGUCUUGUCUAAAGGAGUGUCAUUUGCCCCCACAUACUCAACUAAUGAAUUCAAUACAAAUAUUGACCUAUUUCGCUUCUACAG